CUCGUAGGCGGUUCGUCGCGUCCGGUGUGAAAGUCCAUCGCUUAACGGUGGAUCCGCGCCGGGUACGGGCGGGCUUGAGUGCGGUAGGGGAGACUGGAAUUCCCGGUGUAACGGUGGAAUGUGUAGAUAUCGGGAAGAACACCAAUGGCGAAGGCAGGUCUCUGGGCCCGUCACUGACGCUGAGGAGCGAAAGCGUGGGGAGCGAACA
This 208-nucleotide ribosomal RNA is filed under the name uncultured bacterium. RNAcentral's name for it is "partial 16S ribosomal RNA". It matches the Rfam family "Bacterial small subunit ribosomal RNA", at positions 568 to 774 of the family's 1533-position model. The record is from RNAcentral.